RNAcentral lists this ribosomal RNA (253 nucleotides) under uncultured bacterium. RNAcentral's name for it is "partial 16S ribosomal RNA". It matches the Rfam family "Bacterial small subunit ribosomal RNA", at positions 524 to 776 of the family's 1533-position model. The record is from RNAcentral.
UACGUAGGUGGCAAGCGUUGUUCGGAAUUAUUGGGCGUAAAGGGCGCGUAGGCGGCGUGUUAAGUCGGCUGUGAAAGCCCGGGGCUCAACCCCGGAGGGUCAGCCGAUACUGGCAUGCUAGAGUACGGAAGAGGUAGCUGGAAUUCCCGGUGUAGCGGUGAAAUGCGUAGAUAUCUGGAGGAAUACCGGUGGCGAAGGCGGCAUCCUGGACCAUUACUGACGCUGAGGCGCGAAAGCUAGGGGAGCAAACGGG